ACUACGGGGGGCUGCAGUGGGGAAUAUUGCACAAUGGGGGGAACCCUGAUGCAGCAACGCCGCGUGGGUGAAGAAGUACUUCGGUAUGUAAAGUCCUGUCAGCAGGGAAGAAAAUGACGGUACCUGACCAAGAAGCCGCGGCUAACUACGUGCCAGCAGCCGCGGUAAUACGUCGGGGGCAAGCGUAAUCCGGAUUUACUGGGUGUAAAGGGAGCGUAGACGGCAAGGCUAGUCUGGAGUGAACGCCCGUGGCUCAACCUCGGGACUGCUUUGGAAACUGUGUUGCUGGAGUGCAGGACGGGUAAGCGUCAUUCCUAGUGUAGCGGUGAUAUGCGUAGAUAUUCGGAGGCACACCGGUGGCGCAGGCGGCUUACUGCACUGUACCUGACGUUGAGGCUCG
Molecule: ribosomal RNA, 400 nt
Filed under: uncultured bacterium
Lineage: Bacteria
Description: partial 16S ribosomal RNA
Rfam family: Bacterial small subunit ribosomal RNA
Source: RNAcentral